CUCCUAAGGCAGCAGUAGGGAAUCUUCCGCAAUGGGCGAAAGCCUGACGGAGCAAUGCCGCGUGAGUGAUGAAGGCCUUCGGGUCGUAAAGCUCUGUUGAGGGGGAAGAAUGAUUCAUCCGAUAAUACCGGAUGAGUUUUGACGGUACUCCUCGAGGAAGCCCCGGCUAAUUACGUGCCAGCAGCCGCGGUAAUUC
This 196-nucleotide ribosomal RNA is filed under the name uncultured bacterium. Its description in RNAcentral is "partial 16S ribosomal RNA". It matches the Rfam family "Bacterial small subunit ribosomal RNA", at positions 340 to 526 of the family's 1533-position model. The record is from RNAcentral.